CGGGGUGUUAGGGCACGACACCGGAGAGGGAGCCUGAGAAACGGCUACCACAUCCAAGGAAGGCAGCAGGCGCGCAAAUUACCCAAUCCCGACACGGGGAGGUAGUGACAAUAAAUAACAAUACAAGGUUCUUUUGGAUCUUGUAAUUGGAANAAGUACAAUUUAAAUCUCUUAACGAGGAACAAUUGGAGGGCAAGUCUGGUGCCAGCAGCCGCGGUAAUUCCAGCUCCAAUAGCGUAUAUUAAAGUUGUUGCAGUUAAAAAGCUCGUAGUUGAACUUCAGACCUGGUUGGGCGGUCCGCUUUACGGCGUGUACUGUCUGGCUGGGCCUUACCUCUUGGUGAGCCGGCGUGCCCUUUAUUGGUGUGCGUCGGGGAACCAGGACUUUUACCUUGAGAAAAUUAGAGUGUUCAAAGCAGGCCUAUGCCCGAAUACAUUAGCAUGGAAUAAUAAAAUAGGACGUGCGGUUCUAUUUUGUUGGUUUCUAGGACCGCCGUAAUGAUUAAUAGGGACAGUCGGGGGCAUCAGUAUUCAAUUGUCAGAGGUGAAAUUCUUGGAUUUAUUGAAGACUAACUACUGCGAAAGCAUUUGCCAAGGAUGUUUUCAUUAAUCAAGAACGAAAGUUAGGGGAUCGAAGACGAUCAGAUACCGUCGUAGUCUUAACCAUAAACUAUGCCGACUAGGGAUCGGGCGGUG
This 695-nucleotide ribosomal RNA is filed under the name uncultured Glomeromycotina. Its description in RNAcentral is "SSU rRNA". It matches the Rfam family "Eukaryotic small subunit ribosomal RNA", at positions 363 to 1062 of the family's 1831-position model. Lineage: Eukaryota; Fungi; Glomeromycota. The record is from RNAcentral.